GCCCAGCCCUGCGCCUGCGCAUAACAGAACACUCGCUUUCUCUCGCCCUUCCUUAGGCACCGCCUACACGGGUGACGGGAUCGGAUCGUUUCUCGGGAUCAGCUCUUCGUAUUGACGCUGCCGUCGCGCUUACCUGUCCCUGCAGCGCCACCUCUGUGCCGUCAGGAAUACAGCCGAUUCUUGUAGCACCGCGGAAGAAGGCAUAGAAAAUGGACAAUUGACAAAUAUGGAGCUGAAACAUUUUCUUUCACUUUCACUUUCCAUCAUCUGGAAGGAGCAAGAAAGGGAACUAAAUUUUUGGAGUGGCUCUUCUAAGAACCAGGAAAAGCAGGAGAGUGGGAAGGAGAACAGGAAAGAAAGACAAGUAAGGAUGUGUUAUCAGGAAAAGUCCCACUGGGGAGCUUGGAUACCGUGAAGAUCACACCUCAGAGGGUCCUGAUGGGGGUUUGGAGGCUGAGAAAUCCCAGAUCAAGAUGCUGGCAGUGGCAGUGUUAGUACCUAGUGAAGAUCCACUUCCUGGUGUCACCUUUUCGCUGUGUCCUCACAUGGUGGGAGAGAAGCUAUUUUUGUGACCUAAAGAAAAAAUGGCUCACUGAAACAGAACUUUGCUGAUCUGGUUUCAAAGAAUUCUACGAGAUGAAACAUUCCAUGGAACUGAACAUAGAACGGGCAUAUCUGGAUGGGGGUGCAGGAGCAGAGGCCUACAGCUAAAAGUAGAUGCACUUUAUCAUUCUAGCUCAAGACUCCUCCUCAUUUUUUCCUUUGGUCUGAUAUUCUGAAUGAAUAUUUGGGUAAGUGACAGAUCCUCAUCACCAGUUGAGAGCCUAUGGAAAUAAUCCAGUGUUUUCCAGAGAACUUCUUAGCAAGAAUGGCUGCUGUGUCCUUCUCUGUCGGUGCCAUACCCCUGCUCCUGCUCCAUCACCAUCGUUCCUUUCUGGAAAAGUUUAGAAGCUCCUCCCCUCUUUUUAGGCCUGGAGUGAGGGGACGUUUGAAUUCCCUUCAGUCAGAAAGACCCACUACACUGGGAGAUCUCCCAAGAAGAUCCCCUUCGGGCUGAUAGACUGUCUUUUCACUGCAUCAAAUCUGGCCUUUUAGAGCUAAUCAGAAGGAGCUUCAGUCCUGGUAACGGUAGCAAAACAGUCAGCCAAAGGUCUAAAGAGAAAAACUAAUCAAGAGGAAAGAAGAAAAACCACGAGAAGUGAUACUGCGUUCACUUGGGGAUUAUUUGUGAUGAGAUUGAAUAUAAAUGUAAGAAUCCCGGAAAUGUCAAAAGAAGGCCUUGGAUAAAGCACUCAAAGCCCUGUUUAUCUGUGGGAAAAAGAUUUGUAUUUAGUAGUGGCCUAGUUUUUAAUUUUUCCUGCUCCUCAUAAGGUUUUUGUCCCCUGCACAUAAGGGUUUAAUGCAACUGGUUUUGAAAUAUUUCCCAUUUUGAAUUUGGAAGGCUUAUACUUCAGACCCGGGCUUUUCCUCUCUGUUCUUCCUUUCCAAGAGAUGUCAUUGUACUUCUGCCCAAACACUGCACUAUCCAGAAAAGAA
This is a long non-coding RNA of Neofelis nebulosa (Clouded leopard), 1536 nucleotides long. RefSeq lists it as uncharacterized. Lineage: Eukaryota; Metazoa; Chordata; Mammalia; Carnivora; Felidae. The transcript has 10 exons. The record is from RefSeq and is a predicted model, not a curated record.